This 445-nucleotide ribosomal RNA is filed under the name uncultured bacterium. RNAcentral's name for it is "SSU rRNA". It matches the Rfam family "Bacterial small subunit ribosomal RNA", at positions 26 to 518 of the family's 1533-position model. The record is from RNAcentral.
AGGAUUAACGCUGGCGGCGUGCCUAAUACAUGCAAGUCGAGCGCACCUUCGGGUGAGCGGCGGACGGCUGAGUAACACGUUGGUACCUGCCCCGAACUCGGGGAUACCCCCGGGAAACCGGGACUAAUACCCGAUAGUUCUCUACGGAGUAAAGAUUUAUCGGUUCGGGAGGGGCCUGCGCCCGAUUAGCUUGUUGGUGAGGUAACGGCUCACCAAGGCAAUGAUCGGUAGGUGGUCUGAGAGGACGAUCACCCAGACUGGGACUGAGACACGGCCCAGACUCCUACGGGAGGCAGCAGUCGGGAAUUUUGCGCAAUGGACGAAAGUCUGACGCAGCAACGCCGCGUGAGGGAUGACGGCCUUCGGGUUGUAAACCUCUUUUGUCAGGGACGAUGAUGACGGUACCUGACGAAUAAGUCACGGCUAACUACGUGCCAGCAGCCGC